CGUGCCGCGCGUGCCGCUUGCGUGCGCAUUUCAUAUAAAAAGAAGCAAGAAUUGCCAGUUCAAAGGGUACAAUCAAAAUAGUACCAGCGAAGCCCGCACUUGGUUAAAACGUCACGGGCGGCGCAAGGUAUUAUUGGUUAGAGGGGCCGGUUGCCGUCGGCCC
Molecule: small RNA, 163 nt
Filed under: Collinsella tanakaei YIT 12063
Lineage: Bacteria; Bacillati; Actinomycetota; Coriobacteriia; Coriobacteriales; Coriobacteriaceae
Description: Collinsella-1 RNA
Rfam family: Collinsella-1 RNA
Source: Rfam by way of RNAcentral